RNAcentral lists this ribosomal RNA (596 nucleotides) under uncultured bacterium. RNAcentral's name for it is "bacterial SSU rRNA". It matches the Rfam family "Bacterial small subunit ribosomal RNA", at positions 338 to 961 of the family's 1533-position model. The record is from RNAcentral.
CCUACGGGAGGCAGCAGUGGGGAAUCUUGCGCAAUGGGCGAAAGCCUGACGCAGCAACGCCGCGUGCGGGAAGAAGGCUUUCGGGCUGUAAACCGCUUUCAGCAGGAACGAAAAUGACGGUACCUGCAGAAGAAGGAGCGGCCAACUAUGUGCCAGCAGCCGCGGUGAUACAUAGGCUUCAAGCGUUGUCCGGAUUUAUUGGGCGUAAAGAGUUCGUAGGCGGUCGAGUAAGUCGGGUGUGAAAAUUCUGGGCUCAACCCAGAGACGCCACCCGAUACUGCUUGACUUGAGUUCGAUAGGGGAGUGGGGAAUUCCUAGUGUAGCGGUGAAAUGCGCAGAUAUUAGGAGGAACACCGGUGGCGAAGGCGCCACUCUGGAUCGAUACUGACGCUGAGGAACGAAAGCAUGGGUAGCAAACAGGAUUAGAUACCCUGGUAGUCCAUGCCGUAAACGGUGGGCACUAGGUGUGGGUUUCUAUUAACGAAAUCCGCGCCGUCGCUAACGCAUUAAGUGCCCCGCCUGGGGAAGUACGGUCGCAAGACUAAAACUCAAAUGAAUUGACGGCNGAGACGNGCGACGACGACGACGAGGAGAGG